RNAcentral lists this unclassified non-coding RNA (86 nucleotides) under Pseudomonas rhodesiae. Lineage: Bacteria; Pseudomonadati; Pseudomonadota; Gammaproteobacteria; Pseudomonadales; Pseudomonadaceae. The record is from RNAcentral.
GUGGGAGGGGGCUUGCCCCCGAUAGCGCUGGUGAGUCAGCCCAUCUGCCACUGACCCACCGCAAUCGGGGGCAAGCCCCCUCCCAC